UUACUCACUUCAUAAUUUUCUUCCGUCAAAGGUAAUGCUGUCGCAGCGGUAAUGUUGUUACCGCUUUAGAAAUUUCACGGCAGGUAACGCAUUACUGGUGUGACAGCAUUACCUAUGGAUACGGAAUUUCAGUUAUAUUUAAGGAUUUGCAGUGGUUCGACUGGAGACAGUGGAUCGUUGGCCCUUCAACCUCCUCAAGGGGACACGCGCCACCGUUCAUCGAGGAUCUCUCUACCCUUUUGGUUGCUUCAGACCUAGAGUUGUUCUCUGUGAUCAGAAGGUUUUUUAUGUUUCUUUUUCUUUUUCUUUUUCUUGGAUCUUCUUGUUACCAACGUUUGUUUGGAAAUACACGAUCUGUAAUUUUUGUUCGUUCUAGUUAGAAAUCCAAUUUUCGGAUGUAAAAGAGAGAGCGAGAAAAUGAAAGAAUUUGUUAAAAACUAUGGUUUUAUCCGUCUCUGGAUGCGCCGGUGACUCCUUCAAAUAAACUAACAAUAUGUUAUUCCGGC
Molecule: long non-coding RNA, 506 nt
Organism: Quercus robur (English oak)
Lineage: Eukaryota; Viridiplantae; Streptophyta; Magnoliopsida; Fagales; Fagaceae
Exons: 2
Source: RefSeq, a predicted model, not a curated record